Molecule: ribosomal RNA, 253 nt
Filed under: uncultured bacterium
Lineage: Bacteria
Description: partial 16S ribosomal RNA
Rfam family: Bacterial small subunit ribosomal RNA
Source: RNAcentral
UACAGAGGGGGCAAGCGUUAUUCGGAAUUAUUGGGCGUAAAGGGCGCGUAGGCGGCUUUGCAAGUGACGGGUGAAAUCCCUCGGCUUAACCGAGGAACUGCCUGUCAAACUGCAUGGCUUGAGACCGGGAGAGGUGAGUGGAAUUCCCAGUGUAGCGGUGAAAUGCGUAGAUAUUGGGAGGAACACCAAUGGCGAAGGCAGCUCGCUGGAACGGUACUGACGCUGAGACGCGAAAGCGUGGGGAGCGAACAGG